Mycena epipterygia is the source of this 86-nucleotide non-coding RNA. Lineage: Eukaryota; Fungi; Basidiomycota; Agaricomycetes; Agaricales; Mycenaceae. The record is from the annotation of a GenBank genome assembly.
GCCUCCAUGGCCUAGUGGUUCAGUCCCAUCGAAUCGAACUUUGUCUCGAUUAGACGAGGUCGAGGGUUCGAAUCCCUCUGGAGACA